GACGAACGCUGGCGGCGUGCUUAACACAUGCGAGUCGAACGCUGAAGCUCAGCUUGCUGGGUGGAUGAGUGGCGAACGGGUGAGUAACACGUGAGUAACCUGCCCUCUUCUUUGGGAUAACGCCCGGAAACGGGUGCUAAUACUGGAUAUUCACUGAUUCUCGCAUGGGGGUUGGUGGAAAGGUUUUUUCUGGUGGGGGAUGGGCUCGCGGCCUAUCAGCUUGUUGGUGGGGUGAUGGCCUACCAAGGCUUUGACGGGUAGCCGGCCUGAGAGGGUGACCGGUCACAUUGGGACUGAGAUACGGCCCAGACUCCUACGGGAGGCAGCAGUGGGGAAUAUUGCACAAUGGGCGAAAGCCUGAUGCAGCGACGCCGCGUGGGGGAUGGAGGCCUUCGGGUUGUAAACCUCUUUCGCUCAUGGUCAAGCCGCAGCUUUGGGUUGUGGUGAGGGUAGUGGGUAAAGAAGCGCCGGCUAACUACGUG
RNAcentral lists this ribosomal RNA (482 nucleotides) under uncultured bacterium. RNAcentral's name for it is "partial 16S ribosomal RNA". It matches the Rfam family "Bacterial small subunit ribosomal RNA", at positions 28 to 507 of the family's 1533-position model. The record is from RNAcentral.